AUACGGAGGUUGCGAGCGUUAAUCGGAAUUACUGGGCGUAAAGGGUGCGUAGGCGGCUUGAUAAGUCGGAUGUGAAAGCCCCGGGCUUAACCUGGGAAUUGCAUUCGAUACUGUCAGGCUAGAGUAUGUCAGAGGUUGGCGGAAUUCCUGGUGUAGCGGUGAAAUGCGUAGAUAUCAGGAGGAACACCAGUGGCGAAGGCGGCUAACUGGGACAAUACUGACGCUGAGGCACGAAAGCGUGGGGAGCAAACAGGAUUAGAAACCCUAGUAGUCC
RNAcentral lists this ribosomal RNA (274 nucleotides) under uncultured bacterium. RNAcentral's name for it is "partial 16S ribosomal RNA". It matches the Rfam family "Bacterial small subunit ribosomal RNA", at positions 523 to 796 of the family's 1533-position model. The record is from RNAcentral.